AUGCCUCGGUUCACCUGCUUCCUGAUGUCCAAUUAUUUUUUGUUGUUGCUAUAUUCAACCUCAUCUCUGAAAGCCUACACCUUCCUGUGCUGUUGCUAUAUUCACGAGUUUGACAGGAGAAGGGACUGGAGGUAUACAGUAGGCAGAACAGUGGAACAAAACUCAGCUUCAAUUAAUCGACAUGGUGUUCGCAAAUGGAAAGUCGUUCCUGCUGCUACAGUUCAUUGGUUCAAGUCCGACACUGAGCUCACAAUGGACGUUGAGUUGGUGGACACAAUGGACAAUAAGCCCAUGAAGCUCCAGAAGUCCAGAUUUGGAUACGGUCUAAAAUGUAACUGA
Molecule: ribosomal RNA, 339 nt
Filed under: Triticum aestivum (bread wheat)
Lineage: Eukaryota; Viridiplantae; Streptophyta; Magnoliopsida; Poales; Poaceae
Description: partial small subunit ribosomal RNA
Source: RNAcentral